RNAcentral lists this ribosomal RNA (465 nucleotides) under Vreelandella stevensii. RNAcentral's name for it is "partial 16S ribosomal RNA". It matches the Rfam family "Bacterial small subunit ribosomal RNA", at positions 338 to 795 of the family's 1533-position model. Lineage: Bacteria; Pseudomonadati; Pseudomonadota; Gammaproteobacteria; Oceanospirillales; Halomonadaceae. The record is from RNAcentral.
CCUACGGGUGACAGCAGUGGGGAAUAUUGGACAAUGGGGGCAACCCUGAUCCAGCCAUGCCGCGUGUGUGAAGAAGGCCCUCGGGUUGUAAAGCACUUUCAGUGAGGAAGAACGCCUGGUGGUUAAUACCCAUCAGGAAAGACAUCACUCACAGAAGAAGCACCGGCUAACUCCGUGCCAGCAGCCGCGGUAAUACGGAGGGUGCGAGCGUUAAUCGGAAUUACUGGGCGUAAAGCGCGCGUAGGUGGCUUGAUAAGCCGGUUGUGAAAGCCCCGGGCUCAACCUGGGAACGGCAUCCGGAACUGUCAAGCUAGAGUGCAGGAGAGGAAGGUAGAAUUCCCGGUGUAGCGGUGAAAUGCGUAGAGAUCGGGAGGAAUACCAGUGGCGAAGGCGGCCUUCUGGACUGACACUGACACUGAGGUGCGAAAGCGUGGGUAGCAAACAGGAUUAGAUACCCUAGUAGUC